CUAGCUGUAAACGAUGGAUACUAGGCGUUGAGAGUAUCGACCCUCUCAGUGUCGUAGCUAACGCGUUAAGUAUCCCGCCUGGGGAGUACGCGCGCAAGCGUGAAACUCAAAGGAAUUGACGGGGGCCCGCACAAGCGGUGGAGUAUGUGGUUUAAUUCGAUGCAACGCGAAGAACCUUACCAGGGCUUGACAUGUCCGGAACCCUGCCCAAAGGCGGGGGUGCCUACGGGAACCGGAACACUGGUGGUGC
Molecule: ribosomal RNA, 250 nt
Filed under: uncultured Chroococcidiopsis sp.
Lineage: Bacteria; Bacillati; Cyanobacteriota; Cyanophyceae; Chroococcidiopsidales; Chroococcidiopsidaceae
Description: partial 16S ribosomal RNA
Rfam family: Bacterial small subunit ribosomal RNA
Source: RNAcentral